GCUUGCAUUGGGCAAGUUUAUGCAGUUACCCACUGCGUAUUGACCUAGAACGUCACUUAAGGAGAAAACAAAUG
The submitters of this non-coding RNA (74 nucleotides) gave its source as unclassified sequences. The record is from Rfam.